Molecule: long non-coding RNA, 675 nt
Filed under: Anas platyrhynchos platyrhynchos (common mallard)
Lineage: Eukaryota; Metazoa; Chordata; Aves; Anseriformes; Anatidae
Description: lncRNA (ENSAPLG00000026649.1)
Source: RNAcentral
AUGCUCUGUUGUGAGGACGUGAAGAAAGUUGUGAUAUUACGACAUGGAGUAUCCACACGUGCAUCUGCAGCGGAAGAACUGCUUGGUGAGUCCAUCCAAAAUCCUGCUCCCGAUGAACAGAGGGCUGGUGUUUGCAGAACAAGAAAGCACAUAAUAACACUUGGAAAGCACACAAGCACUCAUGGCCCAGCUCCGAGUGAGGCGACGUUGAAGCACAAAGUAGGCAAAUCUGAAAUUGUUUGGAGACUUUUCAGAGCUUCUUGUUAUCUCGUUUGUGCAUUUAAUGAUUAUUGUGAGUACACGCAUCAAGGGUUUUUGAGGUUUGGAUGCUGGCAGCGGUUGGAGGGACAGGCCUACCUGCAGCGCAGCGCAGGCACUCAGCUGCCAGAUGCCUUGGUGUGCCAGGGAGGGAGCUCUGCUAAAUGGGGGACAAAGCGGGUGCAUGAGCAGUGCAGAGGCCAGCAGCGUGUCUGCCCCCAGCCACUUAAUGCAAAGCAAAACGCGCUGGUGGAUGAAGACAUCCAGAGAAGGCAGAGUGCUCCCUGCCUGCGAGGGAGUCCUUAUGGCAGCAAUCCUUUUCUGGAGAGGGAAGCCAUCUGUCAGAACAGCAUCUUGAGCUCUCUGCUGAGCGAGACAGGGGAAGGAGGAUCUGAAUCUAUCAGUGGUAGGCGUUAA